Cyprinus carpio (common carp) is the source of this 752-nucleotide long non-coding RNA. RefSeq lists it as uncharacterized. The transcript is spliced from 3 exons. The record is from RefSeq and is a predicted model, not a curated record. Lineage: Eukaryota; Metazoa; Chordata; Actinopteri; Cypriniformes; Cyprinidae.
AUGCACCAGGACAUUCAUUAACAAUUCAGCCAGGACAGAUAAUAAGGCAGACUGGCACCAAGACAUUUCUUGCUUUCAGUGUUGUUGUUUCAGACAUUUUAAUCUUUUUUUUUUCAGAUAGUAAUAUCUGAUGCUGAGGAUCUGGAUCCACCUGAAAAAUAUCCAGAAAAAAAUUCUUGCUACAGGAAAUACACAGACCUGUAUUCACCAGAUGUUGAGCAAGAGGACGAAGAGCCGGUUGCUGUCAAUGUGAAGAAUUUCCAACAGACAGCAAUGGAGGAGACGGACAUUACAUUACCUGACAUCGUAGCAAACCUGUCACUUCCUAUUGAUCAUAAAAGAGUCAGCAGGUUCAACAUCUCAAGGGCUAAUGUUUGGGAUGGGGCAGUCAGAGGUUUCAAGCGUACAACAUAUUCUGAAACCUGUGACAUGCUGGUCAAAUUUACUGAUGAGACUGGUGUUCUGGAAGAGGGAAUUGACACUGGUGGUCCAAGACGAGAGUUUUUAACUCUACUCAUGAAACAUCUAAAAGACCAGCCCAUUUUUGAUGGACCAGAAGGACAUCGAUUCUUGGUCUACAAUGCAAAUGGUAUGCAUAUGGGUUAGAUGUGUACUAUAGGAUACUAAUGGUUGGUUAAUGGUCAUUGACCAUAUAUAUCACAUGACAAAUGCUUGUAUAUUAGAGUAUAUAAUGCAUUGUUAGUUUUAAUUUUGCAAUAUGAAUUCAUUCACAGCUGUUAGGGAUGAUGAAU